AUGUUCCACAAGAAUAUUGCACAGUCUGCCGCAUGCCCCCGCUGUAAAGACCCUCAUGAAGAUGCCCUGCACCUAAUUUCAAGCUGCUCUUAUGCUACCCAAGUUUGGUCCUCUCUAGGACUACAGGCUCCAACAUAUCUCGAUGAUCUACUUCAACACCCAACGCUCCAAGGCCUCAACCCCAACAUAUGGCCCUCUGUCGCUCUGUCUAUCUCCUGGAAACUUUGGGACUCAAGAAACGCCCUAGUCUUCAGAAAUGAGGAUCACUCUACCCGGACCACGAUUCGUAACAUCGUUGCUGAUUUCUCUCUAUGGGUUUUUAGAUUCAAAAACAAGGAAUACAAUUUAUUUGCUAAGCAAUGGCUUCAUUUCUUAUCCUCAGCUGUCCCCUAA
This 393-nucleotide ribosomal RNA is filed under the name Triticum aestivum (bread wheat). RNAcentral describes it as "partial small subunit ribosomal RNA". Lineage: Eukaryota; Viridiplantae; Streptophyta; Magnoliopsida; Poales; Poaceae. The record is from RNAcentral.